This 458-nucleotide ribosomal RNA is filed under the name Cofana spectra. RNAcentral's name for it is "partial large subunit ribosomal RNA". The record is from RNAcentral. Lineage: Eukaryota; Metazoa; Arthropoda; Insecta; Hemiptera; Cicadellidae.
UAGAAUAAAAUUAAAAGUAAUCUCUGCCCUAUGAUUAUUUAAAUGGCUGCAGUAUUUUGACUGUACAAAGGUAGCAUAAUAAUUAGUCUUUUAAUUGAUGACUGGAAUGAAUGAGAAUAUGAGAUUUUUACUUUAUUUUUUUUAAAAUUAGAAAUUAAUUUUUAGGUAAAAAAGCUUAAAUUUAUUAUCGGGACGAUAAGACCCUAUAGAACUUUAAUAAUUUUAUUUAUUAUAAUUUUUAGUUAAUUUAAAUUAAUAUAAUUUUUUUAGUUGGGGUGAUUAAUAAAUUUUUAUUACUUUAUUUUUAAAAAUCAUUAAUUUAUGUUUAUUUUGAUCUUGAAUAUUUAAAUUAAAAGAUUAAGUUACCUUAGGGAUAACAGCGUAAUUUUAAUGGUGAGUUCACAUUUAUAUUAAAGUUUGCGACCUCGAUGUUGAAUUAAGAUAAAAUUAGGGGGUAG